Molecule: transfer RNA, 32 nt
Filed under: Mordacia mordax (southern lamprey)
Lineage: Eukaryota; Metazoa; Chordata; Hyperoartia; Petromyzontiformes; Petromyzontidae
Description: partial tRNA-Phe
Source: RNAcentral
AGAUGCUAGAUGGUCUAAUGGGCCCUUUAACA